This 484-nucleotide ribosomal RNA is filed under the name uncultured bacterium. RNAcentral's name for it is "partial 16S ribosomal RNA". It matches the Rfam family "Bacterial small subunit ribosomal RNA", at positions 30 to 507 of the family's 1533-position model. The record is from RNAcentral.
AUUGAACGCUGGCGGCAGGCCUAACACAUGCAAGUCGAGCGGAUGAAGGGAGCUUGCUCCUGGAUUCAGCGGCGGACGGGUGAGUAAUGCCUAGGAAUCUGCCUGGUAGUGGGGGAUAACGUCCGGAAACGGGCGCUAAUACCGCAUACGUCCUGAGGGAGAAAGUGGGGGAUCUUCGGACCUCACGCUAUCAGAUGAGCCUAGGUCGGAUUAGCUAGUUGGUGGGGUAAAGGCCUACCAAGGCGACGAUCCGUAACUGGUCUGAGAGGAUGAUCAGUCACACUGGAACUGAGACACGGUCCAGACUCCUACGGGAGGCGGCAGUGGGGAAUAUUGGACAAUGGGCGAAAGCCUGAUCCAGCCAUGCCGCGUGUGUGAAGAAGGUCUUCGGAUUGUAAAGCACUUUAAGUUGGGAGGAAGGGCGGUAAGUUAAUACCUUGCUGUUUUGACGUUACCAACAGAAUAAGCACCGGCUAACUUCGUG